CGCCGCUGUACGUGGGCAGGAGAGGGCGGGUCGAGCCGGACGACGACGGUGGCGGUGGAGCCCUGUCGCUGUGGCUCCUGCUCCUGCUACUGGUCUUCGUCAUCAACCUUACGUGCUGCGCCGACCGCAGGAUCAUGAGGUGCAAGGCUUCGCUCGGGGGUUGAUCCGGAUGCCAUCGAUGGCAGCAAUGUUUUGUGGAGGUGUCGAUGUCUUGCUCGUUGAUGAUGUCGAGUGCGGUUUAAUGUUGGGUUUUGACAUUUUGUCGACCCCAUGAAUCCACUGUCCAUUACUCAGCUGAAUGAGGAAGCGAGAUUAGUGGAAGAGAGGCUUCAAUCUUUUCCUAUUUAAGAUGUGAAAAAACAGACAUUAUUUCUUUAAUUGCAAGCAUAUGAACACUAAUUCA
Musa acuminata AAA Group (dessert banana) is the source of this 403-nucleotide long non-coding RNA. RefSeq lists it as uncharacterized. The record is from RefSeq and is a predicted model, not a curated record. Lineage: Eukaryota; Viridiplantae; Streptophyta; Magnoliopsida; Zingiberales; Musaceae. The transcript is spliced from 2 exons.